This is a long non-coding RNA of Gasterosteus aculeatus aculeatus (three-spined stickleback), 1802 nucleotides long. The record is from Ensembl. NCBI's taxonomy places the organism in Eukaryota, Metazoa, Chordata, Actinopteri, Perciformes, Gasterosteidae.
GGCUGACAUCCUUCACAGAUUGCAUGAUAGACUGGAACACAUCAUGGAGAGGCAACCUCUUGACAUUGAAGGGCUACGGUUGCAUGCUGUCAGGAUUUAGUUUUAUUAUGUGCUUAUGAUAUAGUGAAUGUAGGAACAUCUAUUGUCGGUAUUUGUUUACUUACCGCUUACUUAGAGUUUGCAUUGCAAUUUGCACAUAUUUUUACUCAUGGCUUUCUUGCAAACAAUUUGUACUUUAAAAAAUAAGUACAAUUGAAAACCAAACAUUGUACUGCUUUACUGUGGUUCAAGAAAGUUGUCAUUUGUAUGGGAUAACUAUAUUGUUAUUGAACACUUGAAUGGAAUAAUCAUAAGAAUAAUCAACUUCAAUUCAAGUGAAACACCUGAUCAUCUAAGUCCAAAACCAGAACUGAUGGAACUGUUGGCCAUCAUAAUUUCCUGGUGGAACAUCUUCUGGUCUGGAAGUGGCUGGGGCACUUCUUCAAUCGGGUAAGUUGAGGUUACGACUUCGACCAUGAGGUUUCUCUCGAGCAGCUCCCACCCAACGCAGAACUUCAUGAGGUCAUGGAGCACCUCAAAUCCAUUUAAUUGAAAUGAGAGCCACUAAAACUAUAUAAUAUAUCAUAAACACCAUGCAUAGAAUUAUAUCUGUAUCCCAUUUUGUAUGCAGAUUUUGGCAGAACUGACAUUUUUCUUUUUUUUUGUUCACAGCCAUCGUAGCACCCUAACAAGUAGGUGCAAGAAGAUGCAAUAAUAAGUAUGUAACUUCGAGAGGAUCAGACAAGUACUGCUGUGUCACCCUGUCACACAUCACACAGGUGUAUGAAUGUGAGUUAGUCCUGCGAUUGGCUGGCGACCAGUCCAGGGUGUAUCCUGUCUCUCGCCCGAAGUUGGCUUGGAUAGACUCCAGCCCCCCCGCGACCCUGUGUGCAGGAUAAGCGGUUUCACAAUGGAUGGAUGGAUGGAACUUGAAGCAGAGCGUCGUCACUACCAGACUCCCUCUCCUCCUUCCUCCUCAUGUCAUCGUUGUCCUUGAGCGGCGUCUCCGGUCUCCCUUCGAUGUUUCACAGUCUGAUGCUAAAUCUUUUGCAUUCUUUCGCUGGCUGGUGUAAAUUGUUUUCUAUUUUUUUUGAGACUCAGACGAGUCCUUAAAAAACCGACACACAAAUGUUAAGCGAUCCGCAAACAAAUCCAGUGUUAUCCGGAAACGAACAAAGACACUUUCUUUAAGCAGUGUUACAGGAAAAUGUCUUUUAACAAGACCAUGAUUGUAAUGCAAGACAAUGCUCCGUCACAUGCAUCGAUAUACUUCACUGCAUGGCUAGCCAGGAAAGGCCUUAAAAGGUGAAAAAAUAAUGACAUGGCCCCUUCCUCACCUGACCUAAACCACACAAUUUUGCUGCAUAAAUUGUUGAUCGUCAACAGAUCAAGAAACUGACAGACUCCUUGAAUGGCAGGCUUAUUACUGUUAUUGAAAAGGGUGGCCAUAUUGGUCAGUUUCUUUUCAGGAAUGUUUAUUUGUAAAUUUUCAGUUGUUGGGUUAUUGGUUUAUUAUUCUCACUCUCAACAGAUGGAAAUAAACAAGUGAGAUGGGAAAUCUUUCGUUUGUCCAUUCUGUUGCAUAAUAAUUGUGCACACUAAUAAUUGCCCAAUAAUUGUGCACACAUAGACAUUCUCAUAAGAAAGCCAAAACCUCACAUUUACUUUCUUAAAUAUUUAGGUUUGGGAUUUAUUGUUGUUUAGGAUUGACCGAGAGCACUGUAGUUAGUCAAUAACAAAAAUAAUCCUCAAAAAUACAUCUU